CCUACGGGAUGCAGCAGUGGGGAAUAUUGCGCAAUGGGCGAAAGCCUGACGCAGCGACGCCGCGUGAGGGAUGAAGGACUUCGGAUCGUAAACCUCUGUCAGCAGGGAAGAACGGUCACUGUGCUAAUCAGCAGUGAAUUGACGGUACCUGCAAAGGAAGCACCGGCUAACUCCGUGCCAGCAGCCGCGGUAGGACGGAGGGUGCGAGCGUUAAUCGGACUUACUGGGCGUAAAGGGCUCGUAGGAGGUAUGUCAAGUCAAGGGUGAAAUCCCCGCGCUCAACGUGGGAACUGCCUUUGAAACUGGCAACCUGGAGUGUGUGAGAGGAUAGUGGAAUUCCAGGUGUAGGAGUGAAAUCCGUAGAUAUCUGGAGGAACAUCAGUGGCGAAGGCGACUAUCUGGCACAUAACUAACGCUGAGGAGCGAAAGCGUGGGUAGCAAACAGGAUUAGAUACCCCAGUAGUC
Molecule: ribosomal RNA, 465 nt
Filed under: uncultured bacterium
Lineage: Bacteria
Description: partial 16S ribosomal RNA
Rfam family: Bacterial small subunit ribosomal RNA
Source: RNAcentral